This 585-nucleotide ribosomal RNA is filed under the name uncultured bacterium. Its description in RNAcentral is "partial 16S ribosomal RNA". It matches the Rfam family "Bacterial small subunit ribosomal RNA", at positions 355 to 1375 of the family's 1533-position model. The record is from RNAcentral.
UGGGGAAUUUUGGACAAUGGGGGCAACCCUGAUCCAGCAAUGCCGCGUGUGUGAAGAAGGCCUUCGGGUUGUAAAGCACUUUUGUCCGGAAAGAAAACGCCGUGGUUAAUACCCGUGGCGGAUGACGGUACCGGAAGAAUAAGCACCGGCUAACUACGUGCCAGCAGCCGCGGUAAUACGUAGGGUGCAAGCGUUAAUCGGAAUUACUGGGCGUAAAGCGUGCGCAGGCGGUCCGCUAAGACAGAUGUGAAAUCCCCGGGCUUAACCUGGGAACUGCAUUUGUGACUGGCAGGCUAGAGUAUGGCAGAGGGGGGUAGAAUUCCACGUGUAGCAGUGAAAUGCGUAGAGAUGUGGAGGAAUACCGAUGGCGAAGGCAGCCCCCUGGGCCAAUACUGACGCUCAUGCACGAAAGCGUGGGGAGCAAACAGGAUUAGAUACCCUGGUAGUCCACGCCCUAAACGAUGUCAACUAGUUGUUGGGGAUUCAUUUCCUUAGUAACGUAGCUAACGCGUGAAGUUGACCGCCUGGGGAGUACGGUCGCAAGAUUAAAACUUAAAUGAAUUGACGGGGUCAUAGCUGUUUCCU